RNAcentral lists this long non-coding RNA (229 nucleotides) under Elaeis guineensis (African oil palm). RNAcentral's name for it is "long non-coding RNA (EGUI_LNC040199)". The record is from RNAcentral. Lineage: Eukaryota; Viridiplantae; Streptophyta; Magnoliopsida; Arecales; Arecaceae.
CAAUAUAAAAAUAGAGAAGUCUUCAUCCUCUUCUUACUGGAAAAGGAAUCCAAAGAACCUGCAACUCCCUUCUUUUAGAAAGAAGAAGCAUUAGACUAAAAUAAAGAAGAUCUAACUGAUAUAAAUAAUAAGGAGCAUAUGCCCCAGUUUUGGAGGAGAAUAGAUUGAAUGAAAGUAAAGGAAGUAUACUCUACUUUCCACCUACUAUAAUCCCAACUAAGAGAAUGAC